UGGGGAAUAUUGGACAAUGGGCGAAAGCCUGAUCCAGCAAUGCCGCGUGAGUGAUGAAGGCCUUAGGGUUGUAAAGCUCUUUUACCAGGGAUGAUAAUGACAGUACCUGGAGAAUAAGCUCCGGCUAACUCCGUGCCAGCAGCCGCGGUAAUACGGAGGGAGCUAGCGUUGUUCGGAAUUACUGGGCGUAAAGCGCGCGUAGGCGGCGUUUCAAGUCAGAGGUGAAAGCCUGGAGCUCAACUCCAGAACUGCCUUUGAAACUAGAACGCUAGAAUCUUGGAGAGGUCAGUGGAAUUCCGAGUGUAGAGGUGAAAUUCGUAGAUAUUCGGAAGAACACCAGUGGCGAAGGCGACUGACUGGACAAGUAUUGACGCUGAGGUGCGAAAGCGUGGGGAGCAAACAGG
Molecule: ribosomal RNA, 404 nt
Filed under: Bacillota bacterium
Lineage: Bacteria; Bacillati; Bacillota
Description: Firmicutes bacterium partial 16S ribosomal RNA
Rfam family: Bacterial small subunit ribosomal RNA
Source: RNAcentral